This 837-nucleotide long non-coding RNA is filed under the name Bemisia tabaci. RNAcentral's name for it is "lncRNA ENSSSA1UGG008932". Lineage: Eukaryota; Metazoa; Arthropoda; Insecta; Hemiptera; Aleyrodidae. The record is from RNAcentral.
AUGUAUAUUUUUACUUCAACUUCUUUUACUGUGUAUCUACAGAGUUCUGCAGCGGCUGGGCGAGGGAGGAGAAAAAAUAUGGCGUAUGCUGAUCUAACGGAUACAGAUAAACCUUUCUCGUGCGAUCUUUGCGGAGCUCGUUAUAAAACCCGCCCUGGAUUAACAUACCACUACACACAUUCUCAUAAAGAAGGGCGUGUGUGCACCGUUCAAGGAGACGAAGAUGCUAGUCAAGAAGGGCCCCCUUCAUCGCCGGCGAAUAAAGAUAAAUCUCCAGCGGUACCAACCGCCUCAGGUGCUGUUUCACCGGCGAGCAUGACGCCCCCUCAGGCCGGUGCUGGGGCCUCCACCAAUAGCGCCUCGGCUAACUUAGCGCCUCCGGCUCAAGCAGGGAUUUCCGCCGAACAAGGCCCAGGCACGCCGGCAGCCUCGCCGUCUGGGAGUUCGGCGAAAAAAAGACAUCCCUCCUCCACCCCAUCCCCCUCUUCCGGAGGAGUUGACGACAGCAGCCAAAAAGGGUUUCCGGAAGAAGAGGCUGAUUGUAAAACCAACUCCGCAAAAGACCCGGAUGCUUUACCUGUAUUGAAGAUGGAUGGUAGAGAAAAAGCUGCCCCUUCUCCAUACUGUGAUUUUUGUCUCGGCGAUGCUGUGGCCAAUAAAAAAUCUGGCCAGCCGGAGGAACUGGUGUCUUGCUCUGACUGUGGCAGAUCAGGUAUGUAUUCUGGUUUAUCUUUGAGUGUUCACAAAAUUCAAUUUUUAUUCAUUCCUCGGUCAUUUUCUCCAAGUAUGAUCCUUAGUGUCACAUUUUGGAAAAGUUCCUCUGAUCGUGAUACUUAA